UUGAUAUAUAAAUGAACUCAUUAUUCGCCUGGAAUUUUUCAUAACUAAGAACCACAAGCUCCAAUGAAGAACAAAUUGUCUAAAAAUAAUUUGUUUUUGAAAUCAGCCAGAAAAAUUUGUGCGUCAAUACGAGUUCAUUUACAUAUCCAAACAUUUGCACCUGUCAAAAUAACGAAACGCGGAAAUUGACGCAAGAAGCUCGAAUUAUAAACAUCUUUUCAAAUAAUUUGUUUUCGAUUUCAGUCGUAAGGAAUUUUGUUUUGCUGUACGUGUCAUAAUGAUGACAUGUUUACAAGAUCUGAUUUUUGACUAUAAAUCAAGCACCAAAAUCGUAGAAAAUUAAGUUAUUGUUCAAGUGAUUCGACUAUAAACAUGUCUAAGCAAUUGAUGGUUUGUUUGGGUCUGGUUGCGGUUUUGGGAGACCAAUUCGUGCAAAUUGAAUGUGUUGGUGGAUUGGUUGACAAAGCAAAGGGAGCCAUAACAAGAG
Long non-coding RNA from Sitodiplosis mosellana (orange wheat blossom midge), 487 nucleotides. RefSeq lists it as uncharacterized. The record is from RefSeq and is a predicted model, not a curated record. The transcript is spliced from 3 exons. Lineage: Eukaryota; Metazoa; Arthropoda; Insecta; Diptera; Cecidomyiidae.